RNAcentral lists this ribosomal RNA (460 nucleotides) under uncultured bacterium. RNAcentral's name for it is "partial 16S ribosomal RNA". It matches the Rfam family "Bacterial small subunit ribosomal RNA", at positions 338 to 795 of the family's 1533-position model. The record is from RNAcentral.
CCUACGGGUGGCAGCAGUGAGGAAUAUUGGUCAAUGGACGAGAGUCUGAACCAGCCACGUAGCGUGAAGGAUGAAUGCCCUAUGGGUUGUAAACUUCUUUUAUAUGGGAAUAAAAUGUUUCACGUGUGGGAUUUUGUAUGUACCAUAUGAAUAAGGAUAGGCUAACUCCGUGCCAGCCGCCGCGGUAAUACGGAGGGUCCGAGCGUUAUGCGGAUUUAUUGGGUUUAAAGGGAGCGUAGGUGGAUUGUUAAGUCAGUUGUGAAAGUUUGCGGCUCAACGUGAAAAUUGCAGUUGAAACUGGCAGUCUUGAGUACAGUAGAGGUGGGCGGAAUUCGUGGUGUAGCAGUGAAAUGCUUAGAUAUCACGAAGAACUCCGAUGGUGAAGGCAGCUCUCUGGACUGUAACUGACACUGAGGCUCGAAAGUGUGGGUAUCAAACAGGAUUAGAUACCCGAGUAGUC